This 221-nucleotide long non-coding RNA is filed under the name Panax ginseng (ginseng). RNAcentral's name for it is "long non-coding RNA (PGIN_LNC001817)". Lineage: Eukaryota; Viridiplantae; Streptophyta; Magnoliopsida; Apiales; Araliaceae. The record is from RNAcentral.
CUGUAGCAGCCCCGAAUCCAGGUCCCGAAUCGCCGCGGAUCCGGUUUGCUAUUUCUACAACUGUUGCGGAAGAUAUAAACAUAAAUUGUUUAUACAUUAAACUUUACACACUAUUCCCAAAAUCGAGUAACCUUAACUAAUACACAAUCGUGAACUGUCUAACACAUGACAAUACUAUUCUUCAACAUACUUUACAACUUAACUUCACAUUCUAUCCCAAG